RNA transcript from Toxotes jaculatrix (banded archerfish), 1660 nucleotides. It is a transcript of the gene named keratin, type I cytoskeletal 18-like, with no coding region annotated. The record is from RefSeq and is a predicted model, not a curated record. The transcript is spliced from 7 exons. Lineage: Eukaryota; Metazoa; Chordata; Actinopteri; Toxotidae.
GCUGCCAGAGUCACUUUCUAAGCCGGCCAGCAGCGAGCUUCCACAUCCCAUUUUUCACUUCAUUCUCUGACGUGCCUAAAUUUCUCCAAAAUGAGCCUCAGAAGAUCCAACAUGCAGCGGAUUCCAUCUACCCACAUCUCCAUGACCCGCUCCACACCCCAGUACCGGGCUGCAAGCAUUCAUGGUGGUGCUGGUGGACAAGGCACUCGCAUCUCCUCUGUCUCCGCAUCUUCCCUGCGCUCUGGUGCACCAAUCACCUCUUCUUCAUCUGCCUUCAAGCUGAGCAGUGGAAUGGGUGGAGGUAUGGGUGCAGGUUUUGGUGGUGCUGGCUCAUCCAUGGCAACUAGUGGUGGUGCCGGUACUGGGAUCCUGGGCAACGAGAAGGGAGCCAUGCAAAACCUCAACGAUCGCCUGGCCAACUACCUGGAGACAGUGAGGAACCUGGAACAGGCCAACAAGGAGCUGGAGAUGAAGAUCAGGGACGCCCUGGAGAAGGGUGGGCCCGACGUGAGAGACUACAGCAAGUAUGAGCCCAUCAUUGAAGACCUACGCAAACAGAUCUUCGAUAAGAUAGCGGAGAACGCGCGUUUCGUGCUCCAGAUCGACAAUGCCCGUCUUGCUGCUGAUGACUUCAAAGUAAAAUUCGACAAUGAGAUGGCAAUCCGCCAGUCUGUGGAGGCUGACAUUGCUGGCCUGAAGAAAGUCAUCGAUGACACCAACAUGACCAGGAUGAACAUCGAGAGUGAGAUUGAAGCUGUGAGGGAGGAGCUCGCCUUCCUAAAGAAAAACCAUGAGAACGAAGUGAUGGAGCUGAGGAGUCAGAUCUCCUUGUCAGGCGUGCAAGUGGACGUAGACGCUCCCAAAGGUCAGGACCUUGCACAGAUCAUGGAGGACAUGAGGUCCAACUAUGAGAAGAUUGCUGUGAAGAAUGCAGAGGACCUCAAACGAUGGCAUGAAAAUCAGAUUGCAGAUGUACAGGUGCAGGUAUCACAGAACACAGAAGCUCUCCAGGGGGCCCAAAUGGAGAAGAGUGACCAAUCCAGACAGAUACAGACCCUGGAAAUUGAACUUGCAUCACAACAGAGCUUAAAAGCCUCCUUAGAGGACACACUGCGCAGCGUAGAGCAACGAAACAACAUAGAAAUGGAGAAGUAUAAUGCCAUUAUCAUUCGCUUGGAGGAGGAGCUGACCAACCUGCGUGCAAACAUCCAGCAACAGACCCACGAGUACGAGGCACUCCUCAACAUGAAGAUGAAACUGGAGGCAGAGAUUGACACCUACAAGUGCCUGCUGGAUGGUGGAGACUUCAAGUAAGAGUUAUGAAGAGGUGGAAGAGAAAAACAGAUUGAGGCAAGGUGAUGAUGGUGGUGGAGGCUCCAGGAUGCACUAGAUGAGCUUGCCACAAGCUAAUCUGGAACAAAGGAUCUGGGACCAUCCCAGCAAUUAAAGCAAAGCAACCCACAACUAUCAAUUAUGGAAAAAAUGUCCUGCUGGUCCAAACAACUGAAGCCUUUUUUGAACCAAGACCAUGUAUCAAAUGCAAUUCUGAAUAAAGGCAUUCUUCCACACCACAGCAAAACAGGCAGGGCUGUUUCAAAAGCAACCACUGCCUGACCUGGCAGCACAAUAAAAAUGAAUAAAAACCGCUUGUUGACCCACA